GGUACAAACUGAGAGUGAAGUGGCUCAGUCUGCAUGUGAAGCUCUGUAACAUGCUUUUAAGGGGAAAAGGGUAUUUUAUUUGUUUUUAUCAAAUUUUAUUGGGGAUAUUUUAUUGUUUUUAUCCAACUUUUAAUUGGGGAUAUUUUACUGUUUUUAAUGGUACAAACUGAGAGUGAAGUGGCUCAGUCUGCAUGUGAAGCUCUGUGUAACAUGCUUUUAAGGGGAAAAGGGUAUUUUAUUCAUUUUUAUCAAAUUUUAUUGGGGAUAUUUUAUUGUUUUUAUCCAACUUUUAAUUGGGGAUAUUUUACUGUUUUUAAUGGUACAAACUGAGAGUGAAGUGGCUCAGUCUGCAUGUG
Molecule: long non-coding RNA, 356 nt
Filed under: Mytilus galloprovincialis (Mediterranean mussel)
Lineage: Eukaryota; Metazoa; Mollusca; Bivalvia; Mytilida; Mytilidae
Source: RNAcentral